UAGACUUCCUAGCAUGGGCUGUUGUGCUGGAGAGAACGAGAGCUACGAAGAGACUACAGUGCCUCUGACUUUUUCAUAGGACAGUUGGCCGGUGAAUCUUAUUAAUAGUUUACCACAAUUAAGUGUUCAUUUUUAGUCUAGAAGGGACAGGCGUUUAUUGUGCAUUGGCCAGUGCCAGCACAUCCGAUGCAAGGCAGUUCACCGUAUUCUAUCUUUAAUUUUUACCAUGGUCCUCUGAGGUAGGUGUUCUUAUCUCUCUCUCUCUCUCUCUCUUUUAAACAGAGGAAGACAAACAUAAAGAUGAAGUGCUUAAUUCAAGGUCACACAAUGUCGGGGAUGGACCUCCAGAUUUCCUUACUGACCUGCAUUAUCUUGUGGAUACCUGAGUGAAUUCCACACCACCCAUUUUAUAGAUGAAACCACUGAGACAUGGAGCAAUUGACUGAGUAGUCACUGCCCCACCCCUGCCUGGAGCCUCACACAUGACUCGCCUCCUCUCAGUGACCACAGUACUUAUCCUGUAUUACAUGAAGGAAAUGAAAUAAAAAGACUGCAGCCCCACUCCCAGCUACUCAGUGAGGUGGUAGCUAGGAAAACAAGCUCAGGGCUCCCACUGAUUGUACAUUAUGAGACGGAGUCUUGCUAUGUUGCCCAGGCUGGUCUUGAACUCCUCACCUCAAGCGAUCCUCCCGUCUUGGCCUCCCAAGUGUCAGGAUUACGGGCAUGUGCUAUCACACCCAACCUGAUACAUUGCCUUUAUAAAUUUUUUUUUCUUUAUUCUAAAAACCAGAAAAAACAAAACUGGAUACAUGUGCAGAACAUGCAGGUUUGUUACAUAGCUGUACGUGUGCCAUGGUGGUUUGCUGCACCUAUUGACCUAUCCUGUAAGUUCCCUCCCCUCACCCCC
This 907-nucleotide long non-coding RNA is filed under the name Homo sapiens (human). RNAcentral describes it as "PCBP1 antisense RNA 1". Lineage: Eukaryota; Metazoa; Chordata; Mammalia; Primates; Hominidae. The record is from RNAcentral.